CGAAGCCUCACGGGAAGCGGAGUUCCUAAGGCCGCCUGCGGCCCGGCAAUUACCACCCGGGUCCUCUCACACUUAGCAGUGGGUGUCAGAUGGUGGAAGGGAACGCUCAGGGAGGCUCCGGGCGGUGAGUUGUCCCUCGGGCGGGGACGCCCUCGUGGGCAGUGCGGCGUGGACGGCGCAAGGAAGAACCCGGAGAGAUCCCAAGCCACGAGGCACCGCUUCCGGCGCAUUGUGAGGUCCCACCUUUCCCGCCGCCUGAGGUCGCGGCGGCUGCUCUUUCCCGGAGCAGCGUCCCUGGAGGCGCUGCCAGGGGGCUGAGGCACCCACGCGUGCACCGUGUGUACCCCCCAGCGCGGCGCUUAGAACGACUCGCAUGAGUCGCUGCCUUGGGUUGGAACCGGUUACUCCGCCGCUUCGUACUGGACUGCAAAGUAACAAGUACUUCGCCGGGCAGCGGUGCCGACCCCGUGUGCUACGGCGAGAGGUGCUUAGCCUAGAGCCGACGAAAACAUGUCCCCAGGACUCCCUUUCCCUCCCAGACUGCGUCGCACCAGAUGGAGCUUUCCGUCUGUUUUAACCACCAGUGUAUUCCUGAUGCCUGACCCAGGCGCUGAAAUAUUUGUUGAACGAAUAAAUGUGUAGGUUAGGACUGUGACGACAGUCCGCGAAUUCUGGAACACGGGCUGAUUUUACUUUUGAACAAAUGAUGCACUGGAACUUCCUGACAGAGCUGACCUUUUAUAGGAACAUCAAUGGCAGUCACCGCUGGCAUUUUAGCAAAGGUUGUCUUGGUCAUAAUUUCCCCUUGACUGUGUUGCCAGCCCUUAAUCUAUAUCGGGUGGGACCUGGACGUCUACCUUCUCGCCACCCCUCGGCAAAAGUUUGAGAAAGUGUUUGAGGCAGAGCCUCCUCUCUCAUAUUCCCUCCAUCUGCGAAUUAGAACGAAUUAUAAGUUCUACGGUGUCACAUAGGGGGUUAGUGGAGAGGAAGAGGGAAAGAAUCAAAUACAGGACGCUGCCUUAACCAAAGUUCUAAACUCUAAAUGUAAUAAUGUGCAUUUGUGAGUCCUCAGGAAGUUUCACAAAGGCUUUCCCUUUUUUCACAGAAUGUCUAGUAGGACUGGUGACUCCGAAUGGGAAAAACACAGGACCUAGACCUGCCCUGUCCAUUAGUGUAGCCCCUUGGCCACUUAGGGCCACUGAGCACUUGAAAUGAGGCUAGUUCGUUUAGGAGGCACUGGAAGUGCAAAAUACGCACGGGUGUCAGUUCGACGAAUGUGAAAUACCUCACUGAUCACUUUUUAUAUUGAUUGCACGUUGAAAUAUUUUGGAUAUAUUGCAGUAAAGAAAAUGUAAGCCGGGCACGGUGCCUCACACCUGUGAUCCAGCAGUUUAGGAGGCUGAGGUGGGAGGAUCGCUUGGGCAGGAGUUAGAGACCAGCCUGGGCAAGAUAGGGAAACCCCCGUCUCUACAAAAAGUUAAAAAAAAAAAAAAAAAAAAA
This 1500-nucleotide non-coding RNA is filed under the name Pan troglodytes (chimpanzee). The record is from RNAcentral. Lineage: Eukaryota; Metazoa; Chordata; Mammalia; Primates; Hominidae.